GAAAGCGGCUNUCUGGUCUGUCACUGACGCUGAGGCUCGAAAGCGUGGGUAGCGAACAGGAUUAGAUACCCUGGUAGUCCACGCCGUAAACGAUGAGUGCUAGGUGUUAGGCCCUUUCCGGGGCUUAGUGCCGGAGCUAACGCAAUAAGCACUCCGCCUGGGGAGUACGACCGCAAGGUUGAAACUCAAAGGAAUUGACGGGGGCCCGCACAAGCGGUGGAGCAUGUGGUUUAAUUCGAAGCAACGCGAAGAACCUUACCAGGUCUUGACAUCCCGAUGCUAUUCUUAGAGAUAGGAAGUUACUUCGGUACAUCGGAGACAGGUGGUGCAUGGUUGUCGUCAGCUCGUGUCGUGAGAUGUUGGGUUAAGUCCCGCAACGAGCGCAACCCUUAUUGUUAGUUGCCAUCAUUAAGUUGGGCACUCUAGCGAGACUGCCGGUAAUAAACCGGAGGAAGGUGGGGGUGACGUCAAAUCAUCAUGCCCCUUAUGACCUGGGCUACACACGUGCUACAAUGGUCGGUACAACGAGUUGCGAGCCGGUGACGGCAAGCUAAUCUCUGAAAGCCGAUCUCAGUUCGGAUUGGAGGCUGCAACUCGCCUCCAUGAAGUCGGAAUCGCUAGUAAUCGCGGAUCAGCACGCCGCGGUGAAUACGUUCCCGGGCCUUGUACACACCGCCCGUCACCACGAGAGUUUGUAACACCCGAAGUCGGUGAGGUAACCUUUUAGGG
Molecule: ribosomal RNA, 729 nt
Filed under: uncultured bacterium
Lineage: Bacteria
Description: bacterial SSU rRNA
Rfam family: Bacterial small subunit ribosomal RNA
Source: RNAcentral